GUGGGGAAUCUUGCGCAAUGGGCGAAAGCCUGACGCAGCGACACCGCGUGGGGGAUGAAGGCCUUUCAGGUCGUAAACCCCUUUCGGCAGGGACGAAGCGAUCUCGUGACGGUACCUGCAGAAGAAGCCUCGGCUAACUACGUGCCAGCAGCCGCGGUAACACGUAGGAGGCGAGCGUUGUCCGGAAUCAUUGGGCGUAAAGAGCGCGCAGGCGGCUUGGCAAGUCGGGUGUGAAAUCCCGGGGCUCAACCCCGUGACUGCAUCCGAUACUGUCAGGCUAGAGGUAGGUAGGGGAGAUCGGAAUUCCUGGUGUAGCGGUGAAAUGCGCAGAUAUCAGGAGGAACACCGGUGGCGAAGGCGGAUCUCUGGGCCUUACCUGACGCUCAGGCGCGAAAGCUAGGGGAGCGAACAGGAUUAGAUACCCUGGUAGUCC
RNAcentral lists this ribosomal RNA (433 nucleotides) under uncultured bacterium. RNAcentral's name for it is "bacterial SSU rRNA". It matches the Rfam family "Bacterial small subunit ribosomal RNA", at positions 354 to 796 of the family's 1533-position model. The record is from RNAcentral.